RNAcentral lists this ribosomal RNA (450 nucleotides) under uncultured Glomeromycotina. RNAcentral's name for it is "SSU rRNA". It matches the Rfam family "Eukaryotic small subunit ribosomal RNA", at positions 569 to 1018 of the family's 1831-position model. Lineage: Eukaryota; Fungi; Glomeromycota. The record is from RNAcentral.
AGCAGCCGCGGUAAUUCCAGCUCCAAUAGCGUAUAUUAAAGUUGUUGCAGUUAAAAAGCUCGUAGUUGAAUUUCGGGAUUGACGUGAUGGUCAUGCCUUAAGGGGUAUGAACUGUUACAGUUGAUUUCUCACCUUCUGGAGAAACUUGAUGUCCUUUAUUGGGUGUCUUGCGGAUCCAGGACCUUUACCUUGAAAAAAUUGAGUGUUUAAAGCAGGCAUUUUUGCUCGAAUACAUUAGCAUGGAAUAAUAGAAUAGGACGGCAUGGUUCUAUUUUGUUGGUUUCUAGGAUCACCGUAAUGAUUAAUAGGGAUAGUUGGGGGCAUUAGUAUUCAAUUGUCAGGGGUGAAAUUCUUGGAUUUAUUGAAGACUAACUACUGCGAAAGCAUUUGCCAAGGAUGUUUUCAUUAAUCAAGAACGAAAGUUAGGGAUCGAAGACGAUCAGAUACCGU